RNAcentral lists this ribosomal RNA (404 nucleotides) under Fusobacteriota bacterium. RNAcentral's name for it is "Fusobacteria bacterium partial 16S ribosomal RNA". It matches the Rfam family "Bacterial small subunit ribosomal RNA", at positions 355 to 776 of the family's 1533-position model. Lineage: Bacteria; Fusobacteriati; Fusobacteriota. The record is from RNAcentral.
UGGGGAAUAUUGCACAAUGGAGGGAACUCUGAUGCAGCGACGCCGCGUGAGUGAUGAAGGACUUCGUUUCGUAAAACUCUGUUCUAUGGGAAGAAAAGGACUGUACCAUAGGAGAAAGCUCCGGCUAAAUACGUGCCAGCAGCCGCGGUAAUACGUAUGGAGCGAGCGUUGUCCGGAAUUGUUGGGCGUAAAGGGUGCGCAGGCGGCUUUACAAGUUGGAUGUGAAAUAUUGUGGCUCAACCACAAACGUGCAUCCAAAACUGCAAAGCUUGAGUUAAGGAGAGGUAAGUGGAAUUCCUGGUGUAGCGGUGGAAUGCGUAGAUAUCAGGAGGAAUACCGGUGGCGAAGGCGACUUACUGGACUUAAACUGACGCUCAGGCACGAAAGCGUGGGGAGCAAACAGG